Molecule: ribosomal RNA, 253 nt
Filed under: uncultured bacterium
Lineage: Bacteria
Description: partial 16S ribosomal RNA
Rfam family: Bacterial small subunit ribosomal RNA
Source: RNAcentral
UACGUAGGGGGCGAGCGUUGUCCGGAUUUACUGGGCGUAAAGGGCGCGUAGGUGGUUGGGUAGGUUGGUGGUGAAAGGUUGGGGCUUAACCCCAAGAGGUCCACCAAGACCGCUCGACUGUGAGGGCAGUAGAGGACGGUAGAAUUCCGGGUGUAGUGGUGAAAUGCGUAGAGAUCCGGAGGAAUACCGGUGGCGAAGGCGGCCGUCUGGGCUGUCCCUGACACUGAGGCGCGAAAGCGUGGGGAGCGAACUG